GAAUAUUGGACAAUGGGGGCAACCCUGAUCCAGCCAUGCCGCGUGUAUGAAGAAGGCCUUCGGGUUGUAAAGUACUUUCAGGGGUGAGGAAGGGUGAGUCGUUAAUAGCGGCGCGCAUUGGCGUUAGCCACAGAAGAAGCACCGCCCAACUCCGUGCCAGCAGCCGCGGUAAUACGGAGGGUGCGAGCGUUAAUCGGAAUUACUGGGCGUAAAGCGCGCGUAGGCGGUUAUACAAGCGAGAUGUGAAAUUCCCGGGCUUAACCUGGGGACUGCAUUUCGAACUGUAUGGCUAGAGUUUUGGAGAGGAGAGUAGAAUUCCCAGUGUAGCGGUGAAAUGCGUAGAGAUUGGGAGGAAUACCAGUGGCGAAGGCGGCUCUCUGGCCAAAAACUGACGCUGAGGUGCGAAAGCGUGGGGAUCAAACAGG
RNAcentral lists this ribosomal RNA (425 nucleotides) under uncultured bacterium. RNAcentral's name for it is "bacterial SSU rRNA". It matches the Rfam family "Bacterial small subunit ribosomal RNA", at positions 359 to 776 of the family's 1533-position model. The record is from RNAcentral.